AGUCCUUCGCCGUCCCUCGCCGUCCUUCGCCAUCGCACGCCACCGCACCCCAUCUCUCGAAAUCUGCAGACAUCUUGAUUUUUCCCACGCUGUCUGUCAGGUCUCCGCCGCCACUCGACGCCAGGGCGCCGGGUGAGUCCACAGCAGGGCGCAUGGUCGGCUCCACUCUCACCAUCGGGGGAAACUGAGGCCCCGGGGAAGGCGGCCAGAGAGGUCAGGCCCUGUCCUUGGUGCAGUGUCUCGUCCUCUUUGCCGGAGUGAGCCCCCCAGGAUUCGCGUGUCCUCGGGAAAGACACUGGCAGGCCUUGUGGGCUGUGCUGCACCUCGGACGGCUUCGCACCAGCCAGCGCCCUCUCUCUCCUGCAGCACUCUGAUCUGCACCCCCUGAGGGGCUUCCACUGUCCGCGGGGUGAGAAUGCCCCUGGGAGUGUCACAUGACUGCCGCCCCAUGUGUGUGAGAGGCGUCCUCUGGGAGAGCAUGGAUCCUGAGGUCCCAGGUAAGUGGGGUCCUGCUCAGUCCUCUAGAGCUCAAGUUCUCUGCAGGUUGUGAGGCCAGAGGUGGUUGGGUGCUGAGGAGUGGGGAGUGAGGACACCGGUGAAGGCUGCUUCCCUUUGCUCCUGUCUUUGCUCCUUCAGCAGGCAGGGACAGGCCUGGGCCCUCUUCUGCCUUCGUGGGGCUGCUGCCAAGAAGGUGCUCCCUGAGCUUGAUUGGGGCUCUGAGAGUCCCUGACAAAGACCCUGUCAUGUUGAGAGGAAAA
This 758-nucleotide long non-coding RNA is filed under the name Homo sapiens (human). Its description in RNAcentral is "HSALNT0400877". Lineage: Eukaryota; Metazoa; Chordata; Mammalia; Primates; Hominidae. The record is from RNAcentral.